Molecule: ribosomal RNA, 468 nt
Filed under: uncultured bacterium
Lineage: Bacteria
Description: partial 16S ribosomal RNA
Rfam family: Bacterial small subunit ribosomal RNA
Source: RNAcentral
GACGAACGCUGGCGGCGUGCUUAACACAUGCAAGUCGAACGGAAAGGCCCUGCUUUUGUGGGGUGCUCGAGUGGCGAACGGGUGAGUAACACGUGAGUAACCUGCCCUUGACUUUGGGAUAACUUCAGGAAACUGGGGCUAAUACCGGAUAGGAGCUCCUGCUGCAUGGUGGGGGUUGGAAAGUUUCGGCGGUUGGGGAUGGACUCGCGGCUUAUCAGCUUGCUGGUGGGGUAGUGGCUUACCAAGGCUUUGACGGGUAGCCGGCCUGAGAGGGGGACCGGCCACAUUGGAACUGAGAUGCGGCCCAGACUCCUACGGGAGGCAGCGGUGGGGAAUAUUGCACAGUGGGCGGAAGCCUAAUGCAGCAACGCCGCGUGCGGGAUGACGGCCUUCGGGUUGUAAACCGCUUUCGCCUGUGACGAAGCGUGAGUGACGGUAAUGGGUAAAGAAGCACCGGCUAACUACGUG